This is a long non-coding RNA of Micropterus salmoides (largemouth bass), 477 nucleotides long. RefSeq lists it as uncharacterized. The transcript has 4 exons. NCBI's taxonomy places the organism in Eukaryota, Metazoa, Chordata, Actinopteri, Centrarchiformes, Centrarchidae. The record is from RefSeq and is a predicted model, not a curated record.
CCUCUACAAGUGUAACAUCAGCGGUCGUGGAGAGUCUCCAUCCAGCUGGAUCUCUGUCACAGGGAAACCCACCACUACACGUCCUCCUACGUCCACCUGUCUUUCUUCAUCACCAGCUCCUCCUCCUCCCUCUGUGAUGCUGUGGUCUGUUCCUCUGUCCUUUGUUCUGGUUUUACUGGUUCUGCUGCUUCUACUUUUCAGAUGGCGUGUUCAGAGGAAACAUCCAGUUGCUGAAGAAGAAGCUGCAGGAAAUGACAUCACAGAGGACAUCACAUUAAGUAACAUCAGAAUAUCACAUCGCCAACGGCAGCGAAUCAGACGAUGCAGAGAGUGUUAUUCAGCUGCAGUCUACUCAGCAGUGAGAGGAACAAAAGAGUUAUUGACAAACAGCCAUCAGACCAACAGGACGAGAGGUACAGCUGCUCUUUAUUUAUUAACUUUGGACGCUGUAUGUGCAGUUAACUCUUACUAGUAUCU